GACGAACGCUGGCGGCGUGCUUAACACAUGCAAGUCGAGCGGUAAGGCCCUUUCGGGGGUACACGAGCGGCGAACGGGUGAGUAACACGUGGGUGACCUGCCCUCAGCUCUGGGAUAAGCCUGGGAAACCGGGUCUAAUACCGGAUAUGACUCCAUGGCGCAUGUUGUGGGGUGGAAAGCCUUGUGCGGCUGAGGAUGGGCCCCGCGGCCUAUCAGCUUGUUGGUGGGGUGAUGGCCUACCAAGGCGACGACGGGUAGCCGGCCUGAGAGGGCGACCGGCCACACUGGGACUGAGACACGGCCCAGACUCCUACGGGAGGCAGCAGUGGGGAAUAUUGGACAAUGGGGGAAACCCUGAUCCAGCGACGCCGCGUGGGUGAAGAAGGCCUGCGGGUUGUAAAGCCCUUUCAGUGGGGAAGAAAGCCUCGACCUAACACGUCGGGGUCUUGACGUAACCCAUAGAAGAAGCACCGGCUAACUCUGU
RNAcentral lists this ribosomal RNA (484 nucleotides) under uncultured bacterium. RNAcentral describes it as "bacterial SSU rRNA". It matches the Rfam family "Bacterial small subunit ribosomal RNA", at positions 28 to 506 of the family's 1533-position model. The record is from RNAcentral.